UGAGGAAUAUUGGUCAAUGGGUGCAAGCCUGAACCAGCCAUCCCGCGUGAAGGACGACUGCCCUAUGGGUUGUAAACUUCUUUUGUAUAGGGAUAAACCUACCCUCGUGAGGGUAGCUGAAGGUACUAUACGAAUAAGCACCGGCUAACUCCGUGCCAGCAGCCGCGGUAAUACGGAGGGUGCAAGCGUUAUCCGGAUUUAUUGGGUUUAAAGGGUCCGUAGGCGGAAUUAUAAGUCAGUGGUGAAAGCCUGUCGCUUAACGAUAGAACUGCCAUUGAUACUGUAAGUCUUGAGUAUAUUUGAGGUAGCUGGAAUAAGUAGUGUAGCGGUGAAAUGCAUAGAUAUUACUUAGAACACCAAUUGCGAAGGCAGGUUACCAAGAUAUAACUGACGCUGAGGGACGAAAGCGUGGGGAGCGAACA
RNAcentral lists this ribosomal RNA (422 nucleotides) under uncultured bacterium. RNAcentral describes it as "partial 16S ribosomal RNA". It matches the Rfam family "Bacterial small subunit ribosomal RNA", at positions 355 to 774 of the family's 1533-position model. The record is from RNAcentral.